This is a long non-coding RNA of Mauremys mutica (yellowpond turtle), 441 nucleotides long. RefSeq lists it as uncharacterized. The record is from RefSeq and is a predicted model, not a curated record. NCBI's taxonomy places the organism in Eukaryota, Metazoa, Chordata, Testudines, Geoemydidae. The transcript has 3 exons.
AGAGUCUCCAUCACCAUCUCCACAGUGGUGGCUCAUUGCAGUGAUUCUUGAGAUCCUCUGUUUGGCUUUGCUGACAACCGCAAGGAUCUUUGGUGCCAACUCCUCUCAGCUGUCCUGCCUGGAAGCCAGCGAGCAUGACAACCUCACCCAGCAGAGGGAAAACCUGUAGAACCUCACCCAGCAGCUAGAGCUUCUACAAGCACAGAACUUAAACCUUUCAAAGGCUGUCCAGCAGCUGGCAAGCUACCGAGGCUCCAAAUGCCGCCUAUGUCCAGAUAAAUGGUUACAGCACGGAGAGGAUUGCUACCACUUUUCUAAUGAAUUUAAAAUUUGGCAAAAGAGUAAAGAUUAUUGUUCUUCACUAGCUUCCAAGCUGCUUCAGAUAGACAGCAAAGAAGAACUGGUAAAUAUUUAUUUAUUUUUGAAUACUGGUCAACAUAA